Molecule: ribosomal RNA, 254 nt
Filed under: uncultured bacterium
Lineage: Bacteria
Description: partial 16S ribosomal RNA
Rfam family: Bacterial small subunit ribosomal RNA
Source: RNAcentral
UACGAAGGGGGCUAGCGUUGCUCGGAAUCACUGGGCGUAAAGCGCACGUAGGCGGAUUGUUAAGUCGGGGGUGAAAUCCUGGAGCUCAACUCCAGAACUGCCUUCGAUACUGGCGAUCUUGAGUCCGGGAGGGGAUGGUGGAAUUCCCAGUGUAGCGGUGAAAUGCGUAGAUAUUGGGAAGAACACCGGUGGCGAAGGCGGCCAUCUGGACCGGAACUGACGCUGAGGCGCGAAAGCCAGGGGAGCGGAAUGGG